Molecule: ribosomal RNA, 675 nt
Filed under: uncultured Staphylococcus sp.
Lineage: Bacteria; Bacillati; Bacillota; Bacilli; Caryophanales; Staphylococcaceae
Description: bacterial SSU rRNA
Rfam family: Bacterial small subunit ribosomal RNA
Source: RNAcentral
GCCUAAUACAUGCAAGUCGAGCGAACGGACGAGAAGCUUGCUUCUCUGAUGUUAGCGGCGGACGGGUGAGUAACACGUGGAUAACCUACCUAUAAGACUGGGAUAACUUCGGGAAACCGGAGCUAAUACCGGAUAAUAUUUUGAACCGCAUGGUUCAAAAGUGAAAGACGGUCUUGCUGUCACUUAUAGAUGGAUCCGCGCUGCAUUAGCUAGUUGGUAAGGUAACGGCUUACCAAGGCAACGAUGCAUAGCCGACCUGAGAGGGUGAUCGGCCACACUGGAACUGAGACACGGUCCAGACUCCUACGGGAGGCAGCAGUAGGGAAUCUUCCGCAAUGGGCGAAAGCCUGACGGAGCAACGCCGCGUGAGUGAUGAAGGUCUUCGGAUCGUAAAACUCUGCUAUUAGGGAAGAACAUAUGUGUAAGUAACUGUGCACAUCUUGACGGUACCUAAUCAGAAAGCCACGGCUAACUACGUGCCAGCAGCCGCGGUAAUACGUAGGUGGCAAGCGUUAUCCGGAAUUAUUGGGCGUAAAGCGCGCGUAGGCGGUUUUUUAAGUCUGAUGUGAAAGCCCACGGCUCAACCGUGGAGGGUCAUUGGAAACUGGAAAACUUGAGUGCAGAAGAGGAAAGUGGAAUUCCAUGUGUAGCGGUGAUAUGCGCAGAGAUAUGGAG